Molecule: ribosomal RNA, 1584 nt
Filed under: Triticum aestivum (bread wheat)
Lineage: Eukaryota; Viridiplantae; Streptophyta; Magnoliopsida; Poales; Poaceae
Description: partial small subunit ribosomal RNA
Source: RNAcentral
AUGGAAUGGCUCCAAGAUCCGCUCAGCUGGCUGUUCGUUGCCUCGGUGGUCUUUGUGGUGCUGAAGCGGCGGCGGCGGCGGGGCAGGGCGCCGCCGCUGCCUCCAGGGCCGAACCCGCUGCCGAUCGUCGGCAACAUGUCAAUGAUGGACCAGCUGACGCACCGGGGCCUCACGGCGCUGGCGAAGAAGUACGGCGGCUUUCUCCACCUCCGCCUCGGCAAGGUCCACGCCUUUGCCGUGUCGACGCCGGAGUACGCCCAGGAGGUGCUGCAGGUGCAGGACGCUGCCUUCUCGAACCGGCCGGCUACCCUCGCCGCCACCUACCUCACCUACGACCGCGCCGACAUGGCGUUCGCGCACCACGGGCCCUUCUGGCGCCAGAUGCGCAAGCUGUGCGUGAUGAAGCUCUUCAGCCGGCGCCGUCCGGAGACGUGGCUCGCCGUGCGCGACGAGUCCGCGGCGCUCGUCCGCGCCGUGGCCCGGCGGAGCGGCGAGACCGUGAACCUCGGGGAGCUCAUCUUCAACCUCGCCAAGAACGUCACCUUCCGCGCCGCCUUCGGCGCCGGAGCCGCCGGCGACGCCGGGAAGCAGGAAGAGUUCAUCGCCAUCCUCCAGGAGUUCUCCAAGCUCUUCGUCGAGUUCUGCAUCGGCGACUUCAUCCCGUGGCUCAGCUGGGCGGACCCGCACGGGAUGAACGUGCGCCUCCGCGCCGCGCGCGCCGCGCUCGACCAGUUCAUCGACAAGAUCAUCGACGAGCACAUGAAGAGGGGCAGGAACCCCGACGACGUCGACGCUGACAUGGUGGAUGACAUGCUCGCGUUCCUUCCUGAGGCGAGAACCAAGGAGGCCGCCGGCGACGGCGAGGACGACCUCCAGAACACGCUCCGCCUCACCCGUGACAACAUCAAGGCCAUGAUCAUGGACGUGAUGUUUGGUGGGACGGAGACAGUGGCAUCGGCGAUCGAGUGGGCAAUGGCGGAGAUGAUGCACUGUCCUGAUGACCUCCGACGCCUGCAACAGGAGCUCACCGACACGGUGGGUCUCGAUCGGAACGUGGACGAGUCGGACCUCGACAAGCUCCCCUUCCUCAAGUGCGUCAUCAAGGAGACGCUCCGGUUGCACCCACCCAUCCCAUUGCUCAACCACGAGAAUGCCGAGGAUUGUGUCGUCGGCGGAUACUCCGUGCCCCGGGGCUCCCGCAUCAUGAUCAACGUCUUUGCCAUCGGUCGUGACCCCAGCGCGUGGAAGGACGCCGACGCGUUCCGACCUUCAAGGUUCAUGGCGGGGGAAGGGGAGGCCGCUGGGGUCGACUUCAAGGGCGGGUGCUUUGAGUUCCUGCCGUUUGGGUCUGGCCGCCGCUCAUGCCCUGGUAUGGCGCUAGGUUUGUACUCAUUGGAGCUCGUCGUCGCGCAGCUCACCCAUGGGUUCAACUGGGCACUGCCCGACGGCAUGACGCCGUCGGAGCUCGACAUGUGUGAUGUCUUCGGCCUCACAGUUCCACGUGCCUCUAGGCUCAGCGUCGUGCCCACGCCUCGACUCACCUGCUCUUUGGUUGCUGAUGAUGAUGUCGCGCGCCAGGCGUGA